AGGGUGGAGGCGAGUCUUCUAGCGGUGGAUUCGGUUGAGCACAGUGCGGCGUGACACCUGAGUUCAGGCCUGAGUCGUCUGCCCUCGUGUCUGUAAACCCAUACGACUAGACGAGGAUGAGAUACCGGAGCUGUGCAUCUGUUGAAGGUGUGCAACUUCGCGAGGAAGGAAGAGGAACUUGACGUGGUUACAGAAGUGGAAGAAAAAGAAAAAAAAAAAAAAAGGAAAAAGGAAAAAGGAUAGAAAAAGCCAAAUCAAAGAAUAAGAAGAAGAAGAAGAAGAAGCAAAAGCACCGUCGUUCUCACGGCUGAUAUUCAGCCGGUGGUGGCAGGAGUUGUUUAUCUAGGAUCUUGCCACUGUAAUUGCCAUCUCCGUGGAGUCUAGCGACCAUAGAAAGAGCAAAGCGUCCCUUCUGCCCAGCUCCGGCUCUAUUCCUCCUGCAGUCAUUAAGUUCUGCCGGAGAUGUUGCGGCCGCGUGGCAACUAUGGUGGUGGUUUUCAACCAUAACCAACGGUGAACACCAUGGUUUUACCCAUUUUUUCAUCGUCGGACACCAGAACAACAUCCGACGAGAGAUUCCCUAUUCGUCAUAGAGGUAUUAUGAGUGAAAGCCGUGAAACAGGAAAAACGACGCUGGGUAUCUUAUAGAAAGUUCCAGGUCGUUUUGGAUCAUCGGAUAUCAAGGCACGUAGUGACUGAAAGGUGCGCCUAAGGAUGACGAAGAACGACAGGAAAAAAUAUACACAGAUCCGGAUCGCCUCUAUAUCUCAGACGCAACGAAUAUCGUCGCACGCUCGCGAUUCUACGCGUACUGAAACUGAAGAACUGAAGUAACGAACUCCUCUCAAUACUUCGUAAAGAACGUCACCGCCGCUUCUUCUUCCUCCACCGCCACAGCCGUUGCUGCUGCGUCGUCGCAUAGGCAGUGAACCGAUCGCUAUAAAACGUAUAAAACAGAGGAGGGAACCUAGAGGUAGCCGUCACGACGCCUAGCGCCGCGGCACCUGCGGACUACGACGCUAUACCUGAUACCAAUUCCUACCUAAUCAUGACUGUAGCAAACGCUUGCGUCAGGAGGAGACAUACUUUUGUGCGGACAGACAAUAAAUAACACAUCAAUAAACAUUGCACGUCACAUUUUUGUGCAUGGAAUAUAAUUGUGCUAUAGCGGUAUAAAACGAUGUACAGAAAAACUGCAGCAUGUACUUGGAAUAAAUUUGUCACCGUCAGCUGGCUAUAGUUCGUUUCAGUAUGAGGGUCUCGGAGGGUACCACAUAACUCUUCAAUCUAGACGGUCCCAAUUUUUACAUACGGCGAAUGGACGUGCAAGAAAAUCUAAUUGUAAGUAAAAGAAAAGAAGGACCGAAAUCAGGCGCAAGUUACAAGAAGUAUAAGCGGCAGGGGCACCGUUCGGUUGGGCCCUCUUACGGACCUCCCGUUGCCCAGGGGCCCAUGGAAGCGAUUCAAUAUGGCAGGUGCGCCCCUCCCUCUUUUUCCUCUUUCUCUCCCUCUUUGCCCCGGACUCCACAUUUCACCUCCUUCGCACUGACCGCCGCGCUGCGAAGUUGCAGCGCACCUUAUUAUAACAACUAAGAAGAGAAAGAAGAAGAAGAAGAAGAAGAAUGAGAAUGAGAAUGAGAAUGAGAAGUAUAGUUUGAGAAAAAAAAAGAAUUGAAGAAUAAUUUGUAAUCCUUUAUCAAAAAAAUCUACUAUAGCUAACAAGAAAAGGAAUGUAGCAUUUCUUUUGUAUCAGGUAAAAUUUUCAAUGGGAUUCAAAUAACGGCAGUCAAUUUAUGUUAUAAACUUCAGGUUGCAAUGAAGAAUGUCUAAUCCCAUAAGAAUGAGCGAAACAAAAGGAAAUAUAUCCAGUUAUUCCUGCAGUGCGGAGUCAUGAGCAACAAAACUCAGUCGCCUGGAUUGAUCAUGACUGAAUUUUAGAUCCUCAUUCGUUUCCUCCUUGAUGCAUAUGGACUGCAGAUAUAAGAAUCAGAGUUUGACGUUGAAGCAAGAAAAAACUAUUGCGAAGAAUCACGGUAUCAUUAUCACGGGCAACGAGUAGAGCGUGGCAGAGCUAACAGUCAAGCAAAACUUGCUCGAGCUGUUGAACACCGAGUGUAUACUCGCCACAGCAACAUAACUGGACACCGGAUUUCAUGGUAGUGGGGAGGAGGUCUCUACUGAAUAAGAGAAAGAGACCAACGACGACUGCAUAUAGUGUUAGUACUAUUUCUUACAUCUCCAUGUUAUGGGGAACUAUCUUAGACAAUCAAGAUCAUGACAACGACGACGACGAUGAUGAUGAUUACGAGUUUAAAACAGGAGACGGAAAGUAGGCGUAGGUGGAAACAACAUAUACGUGGUCUCGUGCAGAGUAACGCGGGAUGUGGAAUGAUGAUCGUAAUAUCAGCUAUAAUAAUCGUUAUUAGUAUUACGUAAAAAAAACCUCAUGCAAAUCUCUUCGAAGUUGAAUACACCUAAUGAAGCAAAAUAUUCACAGAACUCGUUAAAAACUGGCUAGACGUAUACGUACUCACAUAUGCGUACAUGAAUAUUGCCCAAUUGUUAUGAAAUUGGUAAAAAUCUACGCGAAGAUGGCAUUGUUAUUACAAUGAAGAAUGGAAAUUACGUAGGCUAGGAUAGGAGCAAAAUAAAACUAUAAUUAUUAAUGCGAUGAAAAAGAAAUAACAAUGAUUUGAUCUUAUAACCAGGUCUGAUUGUAGAAAACUAGAUCCCAUAUACCUAUCAGCAGAAGAGUGAACCUAUAAAGAGCUCCAAGUAAAGGAGGAUUGAAAAAAAAACGUUUCGAUUAGGAGAAAGAAUGUGUGCAGCAUGCUGUUGCAAGUUACCUCACAUCAAGCAGGUUGUCACUGAUCAUGAUCGUGUCACUCGAAGAUCACAAGCUUUUCUUCCUUUUUACGCUAUAUUUUUUGCUUCUUGUCUGAUUUCUUCUUUUUACUUUUUAUAUCGUAGAAACCGUUACACUAUAUAAAGGAAGUUGAAACGCUUUCAGUUAUGGGGAAUGAAACGGUUUUUGAGUUAGUUUGAGUUACAUUCCGAAUCGAGCAGUAGACGUUAAAUUAUGUAAAUUGCUGUGCAUCUGAGAUGAUAGUACUGCGACAAAAAAAAAAAUUACCAAACAAAAAUUGAUAUGACGUCCGUAUAAAAAUUUUGAACUUACUGACGAUGAGACUAAUAAUUCGGUUGUUUUAGUGUAUAUGCACGAUGUGAACUUUUUCACUGUAAUGUAUAUAGGUUUAUGUAUAUUACCUACUUCGAGGAAGCUUGUUAUACCGGAAUUAUGAAUUAAAAAAGCAAAGAAUGAAAAAAAGGAAAAAGAAAACGAAAAAAAUUACCACGAGAUAUCUAAGUUGAUCUUUUUAGUUUCGAUUUACGUCAUUAUCGGGGUCGUAUCUCAUUAUAAAUCCUUAAUAUGUACUAUACACUCAUUAUAUCUGAGUUUUACUAUAAAGUGUGCGUAUGAAUAUAAAGCACAUGAACGGUGCAAUUAAAUGUGUUAACCUAACGUGAUCUUUUCGGACAAAAAGUAACGCCGUAUGUAAGAAAUUGUUUUUGUAACCGGUCCUCCUUGGAUGAUCGGCGUCAUAUACAUAGCUGCGUCGUAAUAUAUGACAUACUACACGCUACUUUACAUAGGUAUACAUGUGCUCAAUACAUAGGUAUGAAUAUUAUCAACAUAAAUGUAGGUACAUAUGUUACAUAUGUAUAGGUACAGGGUAUUAUAAUUACUCGAUAAUUAUUUUGGAUCUUGCAGACCGUGCUAAGGCGAUUUUUUUUUUACCAAAUACAAUUACGCUU
Molecule: long non-coding RNA, 3816 nt
Organism: Athalia rosae (coleseed sawfly)
Lineage: Eukaryota; Metazoa; Arthropoda; Insecta; Hymenoptera; Athaliidae
Exons: 14
Source: RefSeq, a predicted model, not a curated record